UAUUGGUCAAUGGGCGGGAGCCUGAACCAGCCAAGUCGCGUGAGGGAGUAAGGCCCUACGGGUCGUAAACCUCUUUUGCCGGGGAGCAGGGCGGCGGACGUGUCCGCCGUUUGAGAGUACCCGGAGAAAAAGCAUCGGCUAACUCCGUGCCAGCAGCCGCGGUAAUACGGAGGGUGCGAGCGUUAUCCGGAUUUAUUGGGUUUAAAGGGUGCGUAGGCGGAAUGCCAAGUCAGCGGUAAAAUCGCGGGGCUCAACCUCGCUCCGCCGUUGAAACUGGCGUUCUUGAGUGGGCGAGAAGUAUGCGGAAUGCGUGGUGUAGCGGUGAAAUGCAUAGAUAUCACGCAGAACUCCGAUUGCGAAGGCAGCAUACCGGCGCCCAACUGACGCUGAAGCACGAAAGCGUGUGUAUCGA
This 412-nucleotide ribosomal RNA is filed under the name uncultured bacterium. Its description in RNAcentral is "bacterial SSU rRNA". It matches the Rfam family "Bacterial small subunit ribosomal RNA", at positions 362 to 771 of the family's 1533-position model. The record is from RNAcentral.